GAUGAACGCUGGCGGCGUGCCUAAUACAUGCAAGUCGAGCGAACAGACGAGGAGCUUGCUCCUCUGACGUUAGCGGCGGACGGGGGAGUAACACGUGGAUAACCUACCUAUAAGACUGGGAUAACUUCGGGAAACCGGAGCUAAUACCGGAUAAUAUAUUGAACCGCAUGGUUCAAUAGUGAAAGACGGCUUUGCUGUCACUUAUAGAUGGAUCCGCGCCGCAUUAGCUAGUUGGUAAGGUAACGGCUUACCAAGGCAACGAUGCGUAGCCGACCUGAGAGGGUGAUCGGCCACACUGGAACUGAGACACGGUCCAGACUCCUACGGGAGGCAGCAGUAGGGAAUCUUCCGCAAUGGGCGAAAGCCUGACGGAGCAACGCCGCGUGAGUGAUGAAGGUCUUCGGAUCGUAAAGCUCUGUUAUUAGGGAAGAACAAAUGUGUAAGUAACUAUGCACGUCUUGACGGUACCUAAUCAGAAAGCCCCGGCUAACUACGUG
Molecule: ribosomal RNA, 497 nt
Filed under: uncultured bacterium
Lineage: Bacteria
Description: partial 16S ribosomal RNA
Rfam family: Bacterial small subunit ribosomal RNA
Source: RNAcentral